Molecule: ribosomal RNA, 440 nt
Filed under: uncultured bacterium
Lineage: Bacteria
Description: bacterial SSU rRNA
Rfam family: Bacterial small subunit ribosomal RNA
Source: RNAcentral
CCUACGGGUGGCUGCAGUCGAGAAUCUUCGGCAAUGGGCGAAAGCCUGACCGAGCAAUGCCGCGUGCGGGAUGAAGGCCCUCGGGUUGUAAACCGUAAAAGUGAGGAGGAAGGCCCCGUGAAGAGCGGGGUUUGACCGAUCCACAGUAAGGACGGGCUAAGUUCGUGCCAGCAGCCGCGGUAACACGAACCGUCCGAACGUUAUUCGGAAUUAUUGGGCUUAAAGGGUGCGUAGGCGGCGCGUUAAGUCGGAUGUGAAAUCCCUCGGCUCAACCGAGGAACUGCGUCCGAUACUGGCGUGCUUGAGGGAGACAGGGGUGAGCGGAACUGAUGGUGGAGCGGUGAAAUGCGUUGAUAUCAUCAGGAACACCGGUGGCGAAAGCGGCUCACUGGGUCUCUUCUGACGCUGAGGCACGAAAGCUAGGGUAGCGAACGGGAUUA